This 1540-nucleotide ribosomal RNA is filed under the name Klebsiella pneumoniae. Its description in RNAcentral is "bacterial SSU rRNA". It matches the Rfam family "Bacterial small subunit ribosomal RNA". The record is from RNAcentral. RNAcentral also lists the same sequence under 7 other names. Lineage: Bacteria; Pseudomonadati; Pseudomonadota; Gammaproteobacteria; Enterobacterales; Enterobacteriaceae.
AAAUUGAAGAGUUUGAUCAUGGCUCAGAUUGAACGCUGGCGGCAGGCCUAACACAUGCAAGUCGAGCGGUAGCACAGAGAGCUUGCUCUCGGGUGACGAGCGGCGGACGGGUGAGUAAUGUCUGGGAAACUGCCUGAUGGAGGGGGAUAACUACUGGAAACGGUAGCUAAUACCGCAUAAUGUCGCAAGACCAAAGUGGGGGACCUUCGGGCCUCAUGCCAUCAGAUGUGCCCAGAUGGGAUUAGCUAGUAGGUGGGGUAACGGCUCACCUAGGCGACGAUCCCUAGCUGGUCUGAGAGGAUGACCAGCCACACUGGAACUGAGACACGGUCCAGACUCCUACGGGAGGCAGCAGUGGGGAAUAUUGCACAAUGGGCGCAAGCCUGAUGCAGCCAUGCCGCGUGUGUGAAGAAGGCCUUCGGGUUGUAAAGCACUUUCAGCGGGGAGGAAGGCGAUAAGGUUAAUAACCUUGUCGAUUGACGUUACCCGCAGAAGAAGCACCGGCUAACUCCGUGCCAGCAGCCGCGGUAAUACGGAGGGUGCAAGCGUUAAUCGGAAUUACUGGGCGUAAAGCGCACGCAGGCGGUCUGUCAAGUCGGAUGUGAAAUCCCCGGGCUCAACCUGGGAACUGCAUUCGAAACUGGCAGGCUAGAGUCUUGUAGAGGGGGGUAGAAUUCCAGGUGUAGCGGUGAAAUGCGUAGAGAUCUGGAGGAAUACCGGUGGCGAAGGCGGCCCCCUGGACAAAGACUGACGCUCAGGUGCGAAAGCGUGGGGAGCAAACAGGAUUAGAUACCCUGGUAGUCCACGCCGUAAACGAUGUCGAUUUGGAGGUUGUGCCCUUGAGGCGUGGCUUCCGGAGCUAACGCGUUAAAUCGACCGCCUGGGGAGUACGGCCGCAAGGUUAAAACUCAAAUGAAUUGACGGGGGCCCGCACAAGCGGUGGAGCAUGUGGUUUAAUUCGAUGCAACGCGAAGAACCUUACCUGGUCUUGACAUCCACAGAACUUAGCAGAGAUGCUUUGGUGCCUUCGGGAACUGUGAGACAGGUGCUGCAUGGCUGUCGUCAGCUCGUGUUGUGAAAUGUUGGGUUAAGUCCCGCAACGAGCGCAACCCUUAUCCUUUGUUGCCAGCGGUUAGGCCGGGAACUCAAAGGAGACUGCCAGUGAUAAACUGGAGGAAGGUGGGGAUGACGUCAAGUCAUCAUGGCCCUUACGACCAGGGCUACACACGUGCUACAAUGGCAUAUACAAAGAGAAGCGACCUCGCGAGAGCAAGCGGACCUCAUAAAGUAUGUCGUAGUCCGGAUUGGAGUCUGCAACUCGACUCCAUGAAGUCGGAAUCGCUAGUAAUCGUAGAUCAGAAUGCUACGGUGAAUACGUUCCCGGGCCUUGUACACACCGCCCGUCACACCAUGGGAGUGGGUUGCAAAAGAAGUAGGUAGCUUAACCUUCGGGAGGGCGCUUACCACUUUGUGAUUCAUGACUGGGGUGAAGUCGUAACAAGGUAACCGUAGGGGAACCUGCGGUUGGAUCACCUCCUUA